This 187-nucleotide ribosomal RNA is filed under the name uncultured bacterium. Its description in RNAcentral is "partial 16S ribosomal RNA". It matches the Rfam family "Bacterial small subunit ribosomal RNA", at positions 1314 to 1500 of the family's 1533-position model. The record is from RNAcentral.
GCCUUCAUGAAGCCGGAAUUGCUAGUAAUGGCAGGUCAGCAUACUGCCGUGAAUACGUUCCCGGGCCUUGUACACACCGCCCGUCACACCAUGAGAGUUGGGGAUACCCGAAGCCUGUGAGCCAACUAUAUAGAGGCAGCAGUCGAAGGUAGAAUCAAUGAUUGGGGUGAAGUCGUAACAAGGUAAC